UCACCCCUCAAGCCCCCGGGUUUGGUUUUGGACGGUCUGGUUUCGGGGCGGAUGUUUCAUCCCCUAGAAACCCCUCCUAAAGACAAUGACGGCGGGCUGAUAGCACCCCCGGUACACUGAGCUUCUUAACUGAGCACGUAUCGGAUCCAGGGUCGAUCGGCACCCGGUCUUACCUAUAAAUUUUUUCA
Molecule: unclassified non-coding RNA, 188 nt
Filed under: uncultured Herpotrichiellaceae
Lineage: Eukaryota; Fungi; Ascomycota; Eurotiomycetes; Chaetothyriales; Herpotrichiellaceae
Description: sequence contains ITS2
Source: RNAcentral